AUGGCUCCUCUUUCUAUUUCGAGAUCCCCGACUCGUCCAUCUUUCUCAACUAAAAAAAAACUCUUGGAUCGACCAAACCCUAGAGAGAGAGAGAGAGAGAGAGAGAGAGAGAGAGAGAGAGAGUCCUCUUCCAUGGCCGGCGGCGAUUCUUCUCCCGUGGCGGCGGCUGCUGCGGCGAGAAAGUGGGAGUGGGACCAAGAAGAGUAUCGGUGCGAGUCGCCGGAGGAUUCAUUGGACCCGCGAUACAGCGAGUACGACCCCAAGCAGGGUCGUUUCAUAUACGUCCGCUACUUCUUCAACGGCAAACUCGACCUGGACGAGGAGUCACCUGUUGGUCCCAUGCGACAUACUGGUAAAAUCUUCAAAGAGGGAUUCCGGCUCAAAAAUUCAGUCAAUGUUGUUUCCAUCAAGAUUGUUUCCUCUGACUAUGGCUACCCACUCUAUGUCUACGGUACCAUCAUAGCCAGGGACAGUCUGGAUCGAAAAUGUGUCUAUAUAUUCCGGCGCGACCAGGAUGAUUGCCAGCUCAUCACCUCAAAGGAUGAUUCAUUGAUUUUGACUGGACCCAAGAGAGGAUUCAUGGUAUGUGAUGAUAUAUUCUUCGAAAUCAAUCUGAAGGUGAAGGAUGUGCAUGGGAUGACUGUCGAUGAUGAUAGACUCAGUAAAGGCCUGAUGGAGGUGGAUGCUAUCCGCAGGCUGGAAUAUAGUCCCAGAUAUGUGGUUGAUACGGAAACACUUGUCAGCAUGCACAGCAUAUUGGAUUUAAACUAUACAUUCAUUAGGAGGUCGGUGGAGGGCACUGUUGAGAUCAAGAUCCUUGAGGGACCUGAUGAAUUCCAUGGGAAGAUUGUCGCUUCCACUACCAGCAUUCCAUGCGACAUUGUGCUACAUGAUAGCAAAGUGAGUGGUGCGCUAACUGCAGGUGACAGUGGAGUCCUACAAACGGCACGGCGCGUAGUAGGAGUCUCUGUGGAUGAGUUGCUGGUGUUGACUGUGGCUGCUACUGUCGGUGAUGAUGAGUUAUCUGCCCGCACUGUUCAGUUUACUCCAAGGCGCAAUGGUUACGAUGAUGAGAAUAUCACCUGCGGGGACUACAAGAUGCUUCUGAAGGUCACUUGGUCGAUUGUGUAUUUCUGA
This 1137-nucleotide ribosomal RNA is filed under the name Triticum aestivum (bread wheat). RNAcentral's name for it is "partial small subunit ribosomal RNA". Lineage: Eukaryota; Viridiplantae; Streptophyta; Magnoliopsida; Poales; Poaceae. The record is from RNAcentral.